AGAGUUUGAUCCUGGCUCAGGAUGAACGCUAGCGGCAGGCUUAAUACAUGCAAGUCGAGGGGCAGCAGGUCUGUAGCAAUACAGAUGCUGGCGACCGGCAAACGGGUGCGGAACACGUACAGAACCUUCCUUCGAGCGGGGAAUAGCCCAGAGAAAUUUGGGUUAAUACCCCAUAGUAUAUUGAGUAGGCAUCUACUUAAUAUUAAAGAUUUAUCACUUGAAGAUGGCUGUGCGGCUGAUUAGGUAGUUGGCGGGGUAACGGCCCACCAAGCCUGCGAUCAGUAACUGGUGUGAGAGCACGACCAGUCACACGGGCACUGAGACACGGGCCCGACUCCUACGGGAGGCAGCAGUAAGGAAUAUUGGUCAAUGGACGAAAGUCUGAACCAGCCAUGCCGCGUGGAGGAUGAAGGUCCUCUGGAUUAUAAACUUCUUUUAUAUGGGACGAAAAAAGGGUUUUCUAACUCGUCUGACGGUACCAUAUGAAUAAGCACCGGCUAACUCCGUGCCAGCAGCCGCGGUAAUACGGAGGGCGCAAGCGUUAUCCGGAUUCACUGGGUUUAAAGGGUGCGUAGGUGGGUUGGUAAGUCAGUGGUGAAAUCCCCGAGCUUAACUUGGGAACUGCCAUUGAUACUAUCAGUCUUGAAUACCGUGGAGGUUAGCGGAAUAUGUCAUGUAGCGGUGAAAUGCUUAGAUAUGACAUAGAACACCAAUUGCGAAGGCAGCUGGCUACACGAAUAUUGACACUGAGGCACGAAAGCGUGGGGAUCAAACAGGAUUAGAUACCCUGGUAGUCCACGCCCUAAACUAUGGAUACUCGAUAUCAGCGAUACACUGUUGGUGUCUGAGCGAAAGCGUUAAACGUGCCGCCUGGGGAGUACGGUCGCAAGAUUAAAACUCAAAGAAAUUGACGGGGGCCUGCACAAGCGGUGGAGUAUGUGGCUCAAUUCGAUGCAACGCGAAGAACCUUACCUGGCCUUGACAUGUAGGUAGUAGAACCGUGAAAACGGGACGAGGUAGCAAUACCAGCCUACACAGGUGCUGCAUGGCUGUCGUCAGCUCGUGUCGUGAGAUGUUGGGUUAAGUCCCGCAACGAGCGCAACCCCUGCGUCCUGUUGCCACCCGGUCGAGAGGCUGGAGCACUCUGGACGGACUGCCUCGCUUAAACGAGGAGGAAGGUGGGGAUGACGUCAAGUCAGUAUGGCCCUUACGGCCAGGGCUGCACACGUACUACAAUGCCCGGCACAAAGGGAAGCGAGACGGUAACGUGGAGCAAAUCCCCAAAAACCGGGCCCAGUUUAGAUUGUCGUCUGCAACUCGACGGCAUGAAGCUGGAAUCGCUAGUAAUGGCGCAUCAGCUACGGCGCCGUGAAUACGUUCCCAGGCCUUGUACACACCGCCCGUCACAUCAUGAAAGCCGGUUGUACCCGAAGUCGCCGUGUUAACCGCAAGGAGACAGGCGCCGAAGGUAUGGCUGGUGAUUGGGAUGAAGUCGUAACAAGGUAACC
This 1508-nucleotide ribosomal RNA is filed under the name uncultured soil bacterium. RNAcentral describes it as "partial 16S ribosomal RNA". It matches the Rfam family "Bacterial small subunit ribosomal RNA". The record is from RNAcentral.